This 481-nucleotide ribosomal RNA is filed under the name uncultured bacterium. Its description in RNAcentral is "partial 16S ribosomal RNA". It matches the Rfam family "Bacterial small subunit ribosomal RNA", at positions 28 to 507 of the family's 1533-position model. The record is from RNAcentral.
GAUGAACGCUGGCGGCGUGCUUAACACAUGCAAGUCGAACGAAGCAUUUAAGACAGAUUACUUCGGUUUGAAGUCUUUUAUGACUGAGUGGCGGACGGGUGAGUAACGCGUGGGUAACCUGCCUCAUACAGGGGGAUAGCAGCUGGAAACGGCUGGUAAUACCGCAUAAGCGCACAGUACCACAUGGUACAGUGUGAAAAACUCCGGUGGUAUGAGAUGGACCCGCGUCUGAUUAGCUUGUUGGCGGGGUAACGGCCCACCAAGGCGACGAUCAGUAGCCGACCUGAGAGGGUGACCGGCCACAUUGGGACUGAGACACGGCCCAGACUCCUACGGGAGGCAGCAGUGGGGAAUAUUGCACAAUGGAGGAAACUCUGAUGCAGCGACGCCGCGUGAGUGAAGAAGUAGUUCGCCAUGUAAAGCUCUAUCAGCAGGGAAGAUAGUGACGGUACCUGACUAAGAAGCUCCGGCUAAAUACGUG